AACGAACGCUGGCGGCGCGCCUAACACAUGCAAGUCGAACGAGAAGGCGUAGCAAUACGCUUGUAGAGUGGCGAACGGGUGAGUAAUACGUGGGUGACCUACCCUCGAGUGGGGAAUAACCCGCCGAAAGGCGGGCUAAUGCCGCGUACGCUUCCGUCCUCACGGGGACGGAAGGAAAGCUGUACCGUGGGUACGGCGCUCAAGGAUGGGCUCACGUCCUAUCAGCUUGUUGGUAGGGUAACGGCCUACCAAGGCUACGACGGGUAGCUGGUCUGAGAGGACGAUCAGCCACACUGGCACUGCGACACGGGCCAGACUCCUACGGGAGGCAGCAGUGAGGAAUAUUGCGCAAUGGGCGAAAGCCUGACGCAGCGACGCCGCGU
RNAcentral lists this ribosomal RNA (383 nucleotides) under uncultured bacterium. Its description in RNAcentral is "bacterial SSU rRNA". It matches the Rfam family "Bacterial small subunit ribosomal RNA", at positions 29 to 402 of the family's 1533-position model. The record is from RNAcentral.